GUCGCCUCCUAAAAGGUAACGGAGGCGCUCAAAGGUUCCCUCAGAAUGGUUGGAAAUCAUUCAUAGAGUGUAAAGGCAUAAGGGAGCUUGACUGCGAGACCUACAAGUCGAGCAGGGUCGAAAGACGGACUUAGUGAUCCGGUGGUUCCGCAUGGAAGGGCCAUCGCUCAACGGAUAAAAGCUACCCCGGGGAUAACAGGCUUAUCUCCCCCAAGAGUUCACAUCGACGGGGAGGUUUGGCACCUCGAUGUCGGCUCAUCGCAUCCUGGGGCUGUAGUCGGUCCCAAGGGUUGGGCUGUUCGCCCAUUAAAGCGGUACGCGAGCUGGGUUCAGAACGUCGUGAGACAGUUCGGUCCCUAUCCGUCGUGGGCGUAGGAAAUUUGAGAGGAGCUGUCCUUAGUACGAGAGGACCGGGAUGGACAUACCUCUGGUGUACCAGUUGUCGUGCCAACGGCAUAGCUGGGUAGCUAUGUGUGGACGGGAUAAGUGCUGAAAGCAUCUAAGCAUGAAGCCCCCCUCAAGAUGAGAUUUCCCAACUUCGGUUAUAAGAUCCCUCAAAGAUGAUGAGGUUAAUAGGUUCGAGGUGGAAGCAUGGUGACAUGUGGAGCUGACGAAUACUAAUCGAUCGAAGACUUAAUC
RNAcentral lists this ribosomal RNA (639 nucleotides) under Staphylococcus aureus. RNAcentral describes it as "partial 23S ribosomal RNA". It matches the Rfam family "Bacterial large subunit ribosomal RNA", at positions 2282 to 2925 of the family's 2925-position model. The record is from RNAcentral. Lineage: Bacteria; Bacillati; Bacillota; Bacilli; Caryophanales; Staphylococcaceae.